RNAcentral lists this long non-coding RNA (342 nucleotides) under Vigna radiata. RNAcentral's name for it is "long non-coding RNA (VRAD_LNC006140)". Lineage: Eukaryota; Viridiplantae; Streptophyta; Magnoliopsida; Fabales; Fabaceae. The record is from RNAcentral.
CUAACUUAAAAUAAAAUAAUACUCUUCUAAAUAAAAGGAAAAUCAAAACCACCUAUUUCUAUUUUAUCUCAACCAAAAUCAAACCAAAUAUUAUUAAACCCAAAACUAAUCAAAUAAGAUUUUAACGAAUCCCUAAAAUUUAAGUUUAUGAAAUUUAAGUUUAUCUUAACAAAACUUCCCCAUAAACUUAAAUUUCCAUCCUUUAUUUUGGCUUUUCACAUGUAUCAUCCCACAUUGAGUUUGCUUCUUUAAAUCAUAUUUGACUUCUUCUUUUUUCCUUAUGGCCCUUCUAUCUUUUAGAUUACUUGACCUCUUUUCCCAAACCUCUUCUCCUUAUUCUCG